GAACGCCUUUCCUCACAACUGGAAAGCCAAUUCCCUUGGAAUGAGCAAACUCGCACCCCUGAGCCUCCCUCGGGAGCCCCACCCUGACAGACAUACCCCAGCCCCCGGUGCGGAGCCCACGCAGGACAGUCCUGGGCGGUGUGGCCAUACUGAAAAUGCUGUCUGCUUUUCUCAUCUCUUGGAUUGCUGUGUUGGGAUGAGGAGCUGAACUCACCCUUAUAGGGGCUGCCAGAACCAGGACAGGAGAAAUGGGCCAGGAGAAAAAAAGUGUUUUUGACGUCUGCCUCUCACAGCAAGUCAACCCCAGGUGCACAAGAAAGUGAAUUUUCCCUCGCAGCUACUGGAUUAACUGCUGUUCCUAGGACUUUUUAUAUCUUCCACCUUGUCUGGGACCAGCUCACCUCUUCCACUAUUUGUCGAGACAGAGAAACAAACAUCUGGACUCUGCAAGCACUGAAGUCUGACUGUUGGUGUUUCAACCACUGUGUUAAAGAGGAGUGGAG
This is a long non-coding RNA of Nannospalax galili (Upper Galilee mountains blind mole rat), 503 nucleotides long. RefSeq lists it as uncharacterized. Lineage: Eukaryota; Metazoa; Chordata; Mammalia; Rodentia; Spalacidae. The record is from RefSeq and is a predicted model, not a curated record. The transcript has 3 exons.